GUGAAGAUGCAGUGUACCCGCGGCUAGACGGAAAGACCCCGUGAACCUUUACUGCAGCUUGACACUGAACUUUGACCUUACUUGUGUAGGAUAGGUGGGAGGCUUUGAAGCUGGAACGCUAGUUCCAGUGGAGCCGUCCUUGAAAUACCACCCUGGUAAUGUUGAGGUUCUAACUCUGUCCCGUGAUCCGGGACGAGGACCGUGUCUGGUGGGUAGUUUGACUGGGGCGGUCUCCUCCUAAAGAGUAACGGAGGAGUACGAAGGUGCGCUCAGCGUGGUCGGAAAUCACGCGUAGAGUAUAAAGGCAAAAGCGCGCUUAACUGCGAGACCCACAAGUCGAGCAGGUACGAAAGUAGGUCUUAGUGAUCCGGUGGUUCUGUAUGGAAGGGCCAUCGCUCAACGGAUAAAAGGUACUCUGGGGAUAACAGGCUGAUACCGCCCAAGAGUUCAUAUCGACGGCGGUGUUUGGCACCUCGAUGUCGGCUCAUCUCAUCCUGGGGCUGAAGCAGGUCCCAAGGGUAUGGCUGUUCGCCAUUUAAAGAGGUACGCGAGCUGGGUUUAGAACGUCGUGAGACAGUUCGGUCCCUAUCUACCGUGGGCGCUGGAAAUUUGAGAGGAUCUGCUCCUAGUACGAGAGGACCAGAGUGGACGAACCUCUGGUGUACCGGUUGUGACGCCAGUCGCAUCGCCGGGUAGCUAUGUUCGGAAGGGAUAACCGCUGAAAGCAUCUAAGCGGGAAGCCUACCUCAAGAUAAGAUUUCCCUAGGACUUUAUGUCCUCUAAAGAGCCGUUCGAGACUAGGACGUUGAUAGGUUGGAUGUGGAAGCAUAGUGAUAUGUGAAGCUGACCAAUACUAAUUGCUCGUGAGGCUUGACUAUACAACACCCAAGCAGUUG
Molecule: ribosomal RNA, 896 nt
Filed under: Acinetobacter baumannii
Lineage: Bacteria; Pseudomonadati; Pseudomonadota; Gammaproteobacteria; Moraxellales; Moraxellaceae
Description: partial 23S ribosomal RNA
Rfam family: Bacterial large subunit ribosomal RNA
Source: RNAcentral